This 481-nucleotide unclassified non-coding RNA is filed under the name Hevea brasiliensis (rubber tree). The record is from RNAcentral. Lineage: Eukaryota; Viridiplantae; Streptophyta; Magnoliopsida; Malpighiales; Euphorbiaceae.
GGCUUCCACCAUGAUGACUACUCUACCACAGUUCAAUGGACUCAAACCCCAACCUUUCUCAGCUUCUCCAAUUCAAGGCUUGGUGGCAAUUCAACCAAGACGCAACAAAGGACAAGGUGGUUUGGGAGCUCGUUGUGAUUUCAUUGGCUCAUCCACUAAUUUGAUAAUGGUGACAUCAACAAGCCUGAUGUUGUUUGCUGGUAGAUUUGGUCUAGCACCAUCAGCAAACAGGAAGGCAACUGCAGGGCUAAAACUUGAAGUGAGGGACUCUGGGUUACAGACAGGGGACCCUGCUGGAUUUACACUUGCUGAUACUUUGGCUUGUGGUACUGUGGGUCAUAUUAUUGGUGUUGGAGUUGUUCUUGGACUCAAAAACAUUGGUGCUCUCUAAAAUUUGUAUUACUCCUUAUGUUUAUAAGAAAAACAAAUCAUCUUUUGUGAAUUAUUCAUAUUUCUAUGUACACUUCUUUUUCCUAAAUUU